RNA transcript from Hordeum vulgare subsp. vulgare (domesticated barley), 2757 nucleotides. It is a transcript of the gene named ATP-dependent 6-phosphofructokinase 6-like, with no coding region annotated. The record is from RefSeq and is a predicted model, not a curated record. NCBI's taxonomy places the organism in Eukaryota, Viridiplantae, Streptophyta, Magnoliopsida, Poales, Poaceae. The transcript has 15 exons.
AGAAAAACAUCACACCGAGAAGUCCCGAGCCUUCUCCUCCUCCUCUUUCCCCUUCUCCACGCUUCGCCACUGGCGGAAUAUUUAAACCUCCGUCUGACCAGCUCGCUCGUCGGCUUCCGCCUCUCCGGCAACAGCGAACGGUUCUCUUAACGCGCGACCGAGACCUGACCAGACCACCCACUCGGCUCCGCCAGCUUUCCAGCCCCGGGGGUUCUCCGAUGGCCUCCCACAUCAUUCUCCCCAAGGAGGAGGAGGAGGAGGGGCUGGCCGUGGCGGUGGAGGCGGACCACGACUCGCCGGAGCCGCCGCGGUACCGGCACUUGCAGCCGGCCCAAAAGGCGCUCCCGUUCUCGGCCACCUGCGUGCGGAUCUCCCGCGACUCCUACCCCAACCUCCGCGCCCUCCGCAACGCCUCCGCCACGAGCCUCCGCGACGACGACGCCGCCUUCGCCAAGCUCGACGCGGGCGACUACGGCUACGUCCUCGACGACGUCCAGCACCUCACGGACUACCUCCCUGAACUCCCCACUUUUCCUAAUCCAUUGCAAGAUCACCCUGCCUAUUCAACUGUCAAGCAAUAUUUUGUCAACGCAGAUGAUACAGUACCUGAAAAGGUGGUUGUUCAGAAGAACAGCCCACGUGGAGUUCACUUCCGCCGUGCCGGGCCUCGUCAGAGGGUCUACUUCGAGCCAGAAGAUGUGAAAGCAUGCAUUGUGACGUGUGGUGGCCUUUGCCCUGGGCUCAAUACUGUCAUUAGAGAGUUGGUGUGUGGCUUAUCCCACAUGUACAAUGUCAACAAUGUCUUCGGAAUACAGAAUGGAUACAAGGGCUUCUAUUCAAGCAAUUAUCUUCCCAUGACACCCAAAAGUGUCAAUGAUAUCCACAAAAGGGGCGGUACAGUUCUUGGAAGUUCGCGUGGUGGUCAUGAUACGCAUAAGAUUGUCGACAACAUUCAAGAUCGUGGAAUUAAUCAGGUUUACAUUAUUGGAGGAGACGGAACUCAGAAGGGAGCAUACGAGAUAUUCAAGGAAAUUCGAAGACGUGGUCUAAAAGUCGCUGUUGCUGGUAUCCCCAAGACCAUUGAUAAUGAUAUAGCGGUUAUAGACAAGUCCUUUGGUUUUGACACUGCCGUAGAAGAGGCCCAACGUGCCAUUGAUGCCGCUCAUGUGGAAGCUUCAAGUGCUGAGAAUGGAAUAGGCUUGGUGAAACUGAUGGGUCGCUAUAGUGGGUUUAUUGCAAUGUAUGCUACGCUGGCAAGCAGAGAUGUGGACUGCUGCUUGAUUCCUGAAUCUCCAUUUUAUUUGGAGGGGAAGGGUGGACUUUUCGAGUAUAUAGAAAGGAGGCUGAAGGAGAACAACCAUAUGGUCAUUGUAGUGGCUGAGGGAGCAGGACAGGAUCUUAUCGCCAAAAGUAUACCUGUAGCAGAUCAGCUAGAUGCAUCUGGAAAUAAGCUGCUUCUUGAUGUUGGUCUCUGGUUGACUCACAAGAUUAAGGAUUAUUGCAAGAGCAAAAAGAUGGAGAUGACCAUUAAAUACAUAGAUCCAACCUACAUGAUCCGAGCCAUUCCAAGCAAUGCUUCGGAUAAUGUCUACUGCACGCUGCUGGCACACAGUGCCAUACAUGGUGCAAUGGCAGGAUAUAGCUUCACAGUGGGAAUGGUCCACGGCAGGCAUGCAUACAUACCAUUUCAUAGAGUAACAUCGACAUGGAACAAGGUGAAGAUCACGGACAGAAUGUGGGCAAGGCUGCUGUCUUCAACAAACCAGCCGAGCUUCCUGAGCGAGGAGGAUAUCAUCGAGGCAAGAGAGGCCGAAAGGUUGGCCAAUAGGCUAUCUCUAUCUGUUCCUGCGGGCAGCAGCGAGCACGGGGAGCAUGCGAAGAAGUACUCUGGGUCGGUAUUAGCAAAUGCGGGUCCGUAUGAUUCAGUUGUCGAUGGUUUAUCCUGUUUGACACCUUUACGUUUUGCAUGAAGGCUCCGGCGAUGCGCAAGGAGCACCCACGUUGACGUUGUCACCGCCGCACCAACCUCAGCCUGCCGCAGCCAUUACGGUUGCCGCACCGUCGUCGUCCGCGGCAGCUGCCACGGACAGCGUGACGGUAAUCGACUCCGAUGAGGACGACAGCGACGCAACCGGGCCUCGGGAAGAGGAGCUGGAACGAGAGACCGGAGCAUGGCAAGAGGCCGAGGAAGCUGACCGGAAACGGGAGGAGAGGCCUAUGCAGCCGGAGACGCCGGAGCGUAUGGCACCGCCGCCGGGAACCGCGUUGCACGCGGGUGCUGACGGUGACGGGACGGCGGCCGAGGACGUGGACGCGUUCAAGCCCGACGACGGCUGCACCACGACCCCGCCACCGCAGCAGGACGACCGCGUGGCGGCGAGCACGGGCGGCGAGCGGGCGGGCGUGGCCGCCGGCAGGUCGAGGCUGCUCGCGUUCCGGUCGUUCGCGCGGGGCAAGAAGGGCAGCAAGUCAGGGGAACACCUGCCGGCGCACGGUAAGGCGUGGGAGGAGGCCGGUGCGGACGACAAGGACAAGGGCCAGGCGAGGUGGACAAGGUUUUGGAAGUGAACGUGCCGUGCUGUCUGCCGUCGUGCCGUACGUGCGGCGAGUCGGAGUCAGCGUCGCGCGUCGCGGUGCGUUCAACCGUUGGGUGCGUUUUCAUUGGUUUAUAAUAAACCCAUGUUGUAAGAGCAUCUCCAAUAACACGUGUAUAUUUAAAUGUUUAUAUGUUUAUAUAGAUAGUGAUUUUUUUUUUCA